This is a non-coding RNA of Paramuricea clavata, 90 nucleotides long. The record is from the annotation of a GenBank genome assembly. NCBI's taxonomy places the organism in Eukaryota, Metazoa, Cnidaria, Anthozoa, Malacalcyonacea, Plexauridae.
AAAUGUUUAGGCCUUGUGACCCUGGAUGGGCACUUAAAAGGAAAGAAAGUUUUUUCUUUCCUUUUAAGUGCCCAUCCAGGGUCACAAGGC